ACCUGGAUCCUAGGUCAACACUCAACCGCUGAGCCACGCCCAGCUGGGCAAAAUGAUCUCACCUUAAAACAGUCACACUUACUGCCUCUAAGCUAUUUCAUUUGUCAAGUUUGAGUCACAUGAUGAAUGUAAAACACUAGAGAAUCCCCAAAAUGAAACAGGAUCCUCUUUGAGACCACCUGAACUGGAAUUUCCUUUGUAUAAAUAGCAUUGGAAUGGCCCUUUUGUAAGGCAAUCUCUCUGUGUUAUUCCUCAUAGGAUAAUACCUUUAUGUUUCCUUUUUAUUUUUCAACUACACCCUGGAAAAAUAACACGCGUGUGAAAAUUAAUUCUUUCUCUUAAAAAAGUGGCAUACAGAGUUUGAUUCUAACAUUUCUGCAUAAUUAAGCCCUUGAUGCUAUGUUCUUGUUUUGUUUUGCUGGUUUUGCUUUGUUUAUGGUAGAUCAUAUUAUUCAAAAUAUUUGCUGCCCUCCCUGGUGGAGGAUUGUACUCCCCCAUCCACGGAUACCAGGCUGGCCUCAUCGUUGGAGAUGAUCCUCGAUGAAAUAGAGUAAAACCUCUGGCUCAGUGAGGUCAGGAGUGACUUUGUGAUUGGCUUUGCCCAUGAAUCGAAUGGAGACGUGACAUGCAUCCCUUCUAAACAGAAGUUUUAAGAACCAGCUCAUGGUUCACCAUCUCUCCUAUCCCUUCACCCAAGACUACGAAUAUCCAUCCAGGUGCGGCUCCACCUUCUAGGCCCUCAGUUGUGCAGCCUGUGACAGACGUGCUGUGGGGAUGAGAAUUCUGGAGGCCAGAAGUUCAGAACCAAGGUGUUGGCAGGGCUGUUAUCCUUGGAGACUCUCGGCGAGAAUCCUCCCUCGCCUCUUCCAGCUUCUGGUGGCGGCCAGCAUUCCCUAGCCUUUGGCCGCAACACUCCAGCCUCUGCCUCCGUCAUCUCAUCUUCUCUGUGUGUCUCUCCCAUGUGUCUUUUAUAAAGACACCUGUCGUUGGAGUUAGAGCCCACUGGAAUAAACCAGGACGAGCUCUCCA
Molecule: non-coding RNA, 1029 nt
Organism: Miniopterus natalensis
Lineage: Eukaryota; Metazoa; Chordata; Mammalia; Chiroptera; Miniopteridae
Source: RefSeq, a predicted model, not a curated record